Molecule: small RNA, 185 nt
Filed under: Mycolicibacterium chubuense
Lineage: Bacteria; Bacillati; Actinomycetota; Actinomycetes; Mycobacteriales; Mycobacteriaceae
Description: Mycobacterium chubuense Actinobacteria sRNA Ms_IGR-5
Rfam family: Actinobacteria sRNA Ms_IGR-5
Source: Rfam by way of RNAcentral
ACACAGGGAAGGAGGUGGUCCGACAAAUUGAUUGACUUAUGGACAUGUGAGGUGGCUGCGAGCUAGCAGCGCCGGGGGAGCGCUUGUCGCACACCUGCGCGCGCUGGCGAAUUCCCCGCAGUCACCCGGCCCCCGAGCCCCUCGGUUGAGUCCGACCAGGAACAACGGCUCGGGGGCCGCUCCAU